UGACAUUUUACAAGAUGACUCUUGUAAAGGAAUUUUUGCAAUUGAGCUAGAAGAUGCAGAUGAGGUUGCUGCUGAUGAUGAUAAUGAUGAAAAUGAUUAUGCCGAGCUUCCAAGAACUUUAAAUCGUAAGAGUUUAGGUAAAAACAUUGUUGCUGAUCUAUUAGAUAGCUUGAUGGUGCAAACUUUUGAGCAUCUUGAAUCGUGUGCAAGAAAUAAGCGUUUGGGUGAGGUGUUUGAAACUCUUUUGGAUUCAUUCAUGCUAACUAUCCUAAACACAUACAAGUCAAAGUUUGCUCAGUUUGUAAUGUUCUAUGCCUGUGCACUGGAUCCUGAAAAAUGUGGCGUGAAAUUUGCCAACACGCUUGUAGAUAGGUUUGUUUGCAGUGACAACGCCGUUACCAGAAUGAGUGCUGUGGCUUAUCUUGCUAGUUA
RNAcentral lists this unclassified non-coding RNA (432 nucleotides) under Hevea brasiliensis (rubber tree). The record is from RNAcentral. Lineage: Eukaryota; Viridiplantae; Streptophyta; Magnoliopsida; Malpighiales; Euphorbiaceae.